CAAUCAGAAGUUCCAGCCAUGCCCCCAGUUGUACAAACUCUCUCUCCUCCACGGGGCCCUUCCCUCCUCUGCUUGGGGAGGAGCCUUGGAAGAAGGACGGAAAGAGAGGAGCAGGAAAGAGGACCACUCUGCAAAAAGGAAAAAGUUCAAUAGGGAAACUGAGGCCAAGAAGAGGAAGCCCAGGAGUUGGCUGCUUCUCCCAAAUUCCUCAAGGAUGAGGACUGGGUUUGGCCCAUGGUGGCCCCCCGCGCCCCCAGAGCCCAGCACAGGCCUGGCCCAGAGCAGAUGCUCUGGACCGGGCUGUGGUGGAGGAGGGGGCUCUAGGACACCCCUUCAGUCCUGGCUCAGCCAGACAGCGGAGGCAGCAGGGGGAGCUUCUCUGAGAUCCGCUGGCAGAGUGUCUUCAUCAAGGAGAGACAGCAAUGGGCCUCACGUUUCACUGACAAGAAGGGUAGUCCGGUCAGGAACCAGCAUCACCAGCAUCGGGCCAGAAGAAAGGGCAGAUGAAGAAACCGAGGCUCAGAACAUGAAAAGAGACUUGCUCAAAGGCACCCAGCUAAUGUGUAUCAGGAAUAGAAUACAGCUGAUCUGCAGGCCACCUUUUAUCAGGGCAUCUGUCAUAGCUUCAGAGAUGUAAAGUCUCCUCUCAAAUUUCUCUCCUUUAGCUGACCCUGAGACAACACCAUCGGCAUGAUCUUCUACAGCUCAACUCCAGUCAACAACCUUCAAUGACUCCUACUGCCUGGAGCUCCACACUUCCAAAUUCAGCUGAACCUCCCCUUUCGGGCCCCCUCUCAUCCCUCUCCCUUAUGUCCUCUGUAUUAUGUAGCCUGGCUGUGACCCGAACAUUCACCAAGCUUCCCCUCCUUUGCUCAUGCCGUCCCUACCACUUGGAGUGCCCUCCCUGCCACCUCCACCUGUGGUGAUGCCAUCUUAGACUUCAACACACAGCUCAAGUGCUGCCUCCCCAAUGAAACCUUCCCCAAUCCCUUCAACCAGAUACAAUGAAACAAGCCACUUC
This is a long non-coding RNA of Canis lupus familiaris (dog), 1021 nucleotides long. RefSeq lists it as uncharacterized. Lineage: Eukaryota; Metazoa; Chordata; Mammalia; Carnivora; Canidae. The transcript is spliced from 4 exons. The record is from RefSeq and is a predicted model, not a curated record.